UCGCAGAUCAGAAUGCUGCGGUGAAUGCGUUCCCGGGUCUUGUACACACCGCCCGUCACACCACGGGAGUUGGAGACGCCCGAAGCCGAUUAUCUAACCUUUUGGAAGAAGUCGUCGAAGGUGGAAUCAAUAACUGGGGUGAAGUCGUCACAAGGUAGCCGUAUCGGAAGGUUCGGCUGGAUCACCUCCUUUCUAAGUAGA
This 201-nucleotide ribosomal RNA is filed under the name Clostridioides difficile. RNAcentral's name for it is "partial 16S ribosomal RNA". It matches the Rfam family "Bacterial small subunit ribosomal RNA", at positions 1342 to 1533 of the family's 1533-position model. Lineage: Bacteria; Bacillati; Bacillota; Clostridia; Peptostreptococcales; Peptostreptococcaceae. The record is from RNAcentral.